GUAGGUGAACCUGCGGAGGGAUCAUUAAAGAGUUUACAAAACUCCCAAACCCAUGUGAACGUUACCUUCUGUUGCCUCGGCAGGGGACGCGGGACACUGCUCCCGCGAGCUCCCCCCUGCCGGCGGCCCUGAAAACUCUGUUUCGUACAUGAAUUCUGAAUCAAUAACUAAAUAAGUUAAAACUUUCAACAACGGAUCUCUUGGUUCUGGCAUCGAUGAAGAACGCAGCGAAAUGCGAUAAGUAAUGUGAAUUGCAGAAUUCAGUGAAUCAUCGAAUCUUUGAACGCACAUUGCGCCCGUCAGUAUUCUGGCGGGCAUGCCUGUUCGAGCGUCAUUUCAACCCUUAAGCCCUCGUUGCUUAGCGUUGGGAGCCUACCCGGGCCUCUCUGGGUAGCUCCCCAAAGUCAGUGGCGGAGUCGGUUUCACGCUCUAGACGUAGUAGUUUUAUUCUCGUCUGCAGCUGGGCCGGCGUCCUGCCGUAAAACACCCCAAUUCUUAUAGGUUGACCUCGGAUCAGGUAGGAAUACCCGCUGAACUUAAGCAUAUCAAUA
This 551-nucleotide ribosomal RNA is filed under the name Xylariaceae sp. RNAcentral describes it as "eukaryotic LSU rRNA". The stretch from base 181 to 334 matches the Rfam family "5.8S ribosomal RNA". Lineage: Eukaryota; Fungi; Ascomycota; Sordariomycetes; Xylariales; Xylariaceae. The record is from RNAcentral.